This 390-nucleotide ribosomal RNA is filed under the name uncultured Chrysophyceae. RNAcentral describes it as "partial small subunit ribosomal RNA". It matches the Rfam family "Eukaryotic small subunit ribosomal RNA", at positions 30 to 432 of the family's 1831-position model. The record is from RNAcentral. Lineage: Eukaryota; Chrysophyceae.
GCUUGUCUCAAAGAUUAAGCCAUGCAUGUCUAAGUAUAAACGACUUUAUACUGUGAAACUGCGAAUGGCUCAUUAUAUCAGUUAUAGUUUAUUUGAUGGUCCUUGCUACUUGGAUAACCGUAGUAAUUCUAGAGCUAAUACAUGCAUCAAACCCCGACUUCUGGAAGGGGUGUAUUUAUUAGAUGGAAACCAAUGCAGGGCAACCUGGAAUAUGGUGAUUCAUAAUAACUCGCGGAUCGGUUUACCGAUGCAUCAUUCAAGUUUCUGCCCUAUCAGCUUUGGAUGGUAGGGUAUUGGCCUACCAUGGCUUUAACGGGUAACGGAGAAUUAGGGUUCGAUUCCGGAGAGGGAGCCUGAGAAAUGGCUACCACAUCCAAGGAAGGCAGCAGG